GACGAACGCUGGCGGCGUGCUUAACACAUGCAAGUCGAACGGAAAGGCCUGCUUUCCCUUGUGGAUUGCGGGUACUCGAGUGGCGAACGGGUGAGUAACACGUGAGUGAUCUGCCCCCAACUUGGGUAUAAGCCUGGGAAACUGGGUCUAAUUCCCGAUAGGACUGCAGGGUGGUGCCUGUGGUGGAAAACGAUUUUCUAGUGGUUGGGGAUGAGCUCGCGGCCUAUCAGCUUGUUGGUGGGGUAAUGGCCUACCAAGGCGGCGACGGGUAGCCGGCCUGAGAGGGUGGACGGCCACAUUGGGACUGAGAGACGGCCCAGACUCCGACGGGAGGCAGCAGUGGGGAAUAUUGCACAAUGGGCGGAAGCCUGAUGCAGCGACGCCGCGUGGGGGAUGACGGCCUUCGGGUUGUAAACUCCUUUCGACCGCGAGGAAGCCACCUGGUUGGAAGGGUGGUGACGGUAGUGGUAGAAGAAGCACCGGCUAACUACGUG
This 494-nucleotide ribosomal RNA is filed under the name uncultured bacterium. Its description in RNAcentral is "partial 16S ribosomal RNA". It matches the Rfam family "Bacterial small subunit ribosomal RNA", at positions 28 to 507 of the family's 1533-position model. The record is from RNAcentral.